GUCUACAGCCAUACCACCCUGAACAAGCCCGAUGUCUGAUCUCGGAAGCGAAGCAAGGUCGGGCCUGGUUAGUACUUGGGUGGGAGACCACCUAGGAAGACCAGGUGCUGUAGGCA
This 116-nucleotide ribosomal RNA is filed under the name Pteropus alecto (black flying fox). Lineage: Eukaryota; Metazoa; Chordata; Mammalia; Chiroptera; Pteropodidae. The record is from RNAcentral.